Molecule: long non-coding RNA, 78 nt
Filed under: Callithrix jacchus (white-tufted-ear marmoset)
Lineage: Eukaryota; Metazoa; Chordata; Mammalia; Primates; Cebidae
Description: lncRNA (ENSCJAG00000079652.1)
Source: RNAcentral
GCCUGCCUUGACUUCCAGUAUUACGUUGAAUAGGAGUGGUGAAAGUGGCCAUCUUUGUCUUGUUCCCGGUCUUGGGGG